UCCCACAUCAGAAUUGACAAGUGCCGGGU
This 29-nucleotide non-coding RNA is filed under the name Rattus norvegicus (Norway rat). The record is from RNAcentral. Lineage: Eukaryota; Metazoa; Chordata; Mammalia; Rodentia; Muridae.